RNAcentral lists this ribosomal RNA (460 nucleotides) under uncultured bacterium. RNAcentral describes it as "partial 16S ribosomal RNA". It matches the Rfam family "Bacterial small subunit ribosomal RNA", at positions 338 to 795 of the family's 1533-position model. The record is from RNAcentral.
CCUACGGGAGGCAGCAGUGAGGAAUAUUGGUCAAUGGACGAGAGUCUGAACCAGCCAAGUAGCGUGAAGGAUGACUGCCCUAUGGGUUGUAAACUUCUUUUAUAUGGGAAUAAAAUGUUCCACGUGUGGGAUUUUGUAUGUACCAUAUGAAUAAGGAUCGGCUAACUCCGUGCCAGCAGCCGCGGUAAUACGGAGGAUCCGAGCGUUAUCCGGAUUUAUUGGGUUUAAAGGGAGCGUAGGUGGAUUGUUAAGUCAGUUGUGAAAGUUUGCGGCUCAACCAUAAAAUUGCAGUUGAAACUGGCAGUCUUGAGUACAGUAGAGGUGGGCGGAAUUCGUGGUGUAGCGGUGAAAUGCUUAGAUAUCACGAAGAACUCCGAUUGCGAAGGCAGUUCACUGGACUGCAACUGACACUGAGGCACGAAAGCGUGGGUAUCAAACAGGAUUAGAUACCCUUGUAGUC